This is a long non-coding RNA of Paramormyrops kingsleyae, 1113 nucleotides long. RefSeq lists it as uncharacterized. The record is from RefSeq and is a predicted model, not a curated record. Lineage: Eukaryota; Metazoa; Chordata; Actinopteri; Osteoglossiformes; Mormyridae.
AUGCCCCUGCCAAAAACACUUAAGGAAAUCACUAGGAAGUUUUAAAGGAGUGAGUCAUUAGUCUCGGACUUCCAAACCUAGAAGGAGCGAGGUCUGAUACUAGCUUCAUUUCUCUGGAUGAGAAAUUGACGCAGCAAAUUGAACUAAAAGCCGCAGAAACAAAACAUCACAAAGUACCCAGAGUGACUGGCGACAUUAGUGACAGGUACUCUGGACAGAUGGAGGGAUGAGCUCUGCCUCUGAGGUUUGCUGUCCCAUCAGGCCUGUGGAUUGAGGAUCUCCUGAUUCCCACCCCCAGCCCAGCUGAAGCGGCCCCCUGUUCAUCGGGACCCUAUCAAAGGGUCAUCUUGCAGUUUCGGGCCCCAGAUUACCGCACCGAACGUCUGCAGUCCCCUACAGCGGGGAUUGCAGUGACUCCGUGCAGUGGGCCACUUCCUGCUAUCUGAGCGGACUUCGCACAGAGAACUCCAGUGCCGGCACUGUCCUCCCGGGAGCGGGCUCGGUGCCAGCUGGAUCAGCGCGCGGGAUGCAGCGCCGCGAUUCCGCCCCGCCCCGUUUUCCCUCUCCCCCGUUCUUCCCUCGUCCUCUCAGCACGCGUGUCUCGGCCUUCAUGGAGAGCGGAGGGGAAUCGAGAAAGAUCUGCGGGGUGGCAGAUGGGCCCAGAGCCAUCAAUGGUAGCGAAACGGCGGACGGCGUGAAAGGAAACGCAUGCAACCGGUCCUCCUAACGGCAGGAGCGGGAAUGCGGAGUCUGGCUGUGCCGGCUGAUGUCACGUGGGGAGUCGCGAGCUCUGGAACGCGUCCAUCUUCCUAACUCCUCGGGACGGCUCUGGCAUUUCUUCAUGCCGACGGAUCAUUUCACGUAUCACAUGUUUCAGGGCACUUCUUCUCCUCUCUGCCUUUUCCUGACGCCUCAUUCCCUGGUCAGGCGGCACACGGAGAUCCCCCGCUGCCCCGAGAAGCCACCUCACCUCAGCUGGAUUAGCACCACCACCCCCCACCCCCCUCCGGAAUGUUGAUGCUCUGUUGCUGUGGAAUUCUGGGCAAUAUGUGGAGUGUCUGACUGGUGAGAUCUAGGUGAGUGCACACUGCGGUCCAAACACAGGCCCGCCAG